Molecule: ribosomal RNA, 497 nt
Filed under: uncultured bacterium
Lineage: Bacteria
Description: partial 16S ribosomal RNA
Rfam family: Bacterial small subunit ribosomal RNA
Source: RNAcentral
GAUGAACGCUGGCGGCGUGCCUAAUACAUGCAAGUCGAGCGAACAGACGAGGAGCUUGCUCCUCUGACGUUAGCGGCGGACGGGUGAGUAACACGUGGAUAACCUACCUAUAAGACUGGGAUAACUUCGGGAAACCGGAGCUAAUACCGGAUAAUAUAUUGAACCGCAUGGUUCAAUAGUGAAAGACGGUUUUGCUGUCACUAAUAGAUGGAUCCGCGCCGCAUUAGCUAGUUGGUAAGGUAAAGGCUUACCAAGGCAACGAUGCGUAGCCGACCUGAGAGGGUGAUCGCACACACUGGCACUGAGACACGGUCCAGACUCCUACGGGAGGCAGCAGUAGGGAAUCUUCCGCAAUGGGCGAGAGCCUGACGGAGCAACGCCGCGUGAGUGAUGAAGGUCUUCGGAUCGUAAAACUCUGUUAUUAGGGAAGAACAAAUGUGUAAGUAACUAUGCACGUCUUGACGGUACCUAAUCAGAAAGCCACGGCUAACUACGUG